GACGAACGCUGGCGGCGUGCUUAACACAUGCAAGUCGAACGGAAAGGCCCUGCCUUGGUGGGGUACUCGAGUGGCGAACGGGUGAGUAACACGUGAGUAAUCUGCCCUGGACUCUGGGAUAACUUUAGGAAACUGGGGCUAAUACCGGAUAUGACCUCUCGCUUCAUGGUGGGGGGUGGAAAGUUUCGCCGGUUAGGGAUGGGCUCGCGGCUUAUCAGCUUGUUGGUGGGGUAGUGGCUUACCAAGGCGUGGACGGGUAGCCGGCCUGAGAGGGUGACCGGCCACAUUGGGACUGAGAUACGGCCCAGACUCCUACGGGAGGCAGCAGUGGGGAAUAUUACACAAUGGGCGGAAGCCUGAUGCAGCGACGCCGCGUGCGGGAUGACGGCCUUCGGGUUGUAAACCGCUUUCGGCUGUGACGAAGCGUGAGUGACGGUACCGGGUGAAGAAGCACCGGCUAACUACGUG
RNAcentral lists this ribosomal RNA (468 nucleotides) under uncultured bacterium. RNAcentral describes it as "partial 16S ribosomal RNA". It matches the Rfam family "Bacterial small subunit ribosomal RNA", at positions 28 to 507 of the family's 1533-position model. The record is from RNAcentral.